UACGUAGGGUGCAAGCGUUAAUCGGAAUUACUGGGCGUAAAGCGUGCGCAGGCGGCUUUGUAAGUCUGUCGUGAAAGCCCCGGGCUCAACCUGGGAAUUGCGAUGGAGACUGCAAGGCUUGAAUCUGGCAGAGGGGGGUAGAAUUCCACGUGUAGCAGUGAAAUGCGUAGAGAUGUGGAGGAACACCGAUGGCGAAGGCAGCCCCCUGGGUCAAGAUUGACGCUCAUGCACGAAAGCGUGGGGAGCAAACAGG
RNAcentral lists this ribosomal RNA (253 nucleotides) under uncultured bacterium. RNAcentral's name for it is "partial 16S ribosomal RNA". It matches the Rfam family "Bacterial small subunit ribosomal RNA", at positions 524 to 776 of the family's 1533-position model. The record is from RNAcentral.